This 1125-nucleotide long non-coding RNA is filed under the name Anas platyrhynchos platyrhynchos (common mallard). Its description in RNAcentral is "lncRNA (ENSAPLG00000026717.1)". Lineage: Eukaryota; Metazoa; Chordata; Aves; Anseriformes; Anatidae. The record is from RNAcentral.
AUGUGGAAGUUGCAUGCAAAUAUCCCUUCUCUCUCCCUCUCGCUAGCUGCACACAACUUCCACACGAAGGACGUCUGUAUUUACAAAGACUGCGGUAGGCCCUGGAUUUCCAUCCUCCCAGAGGAUGGGCUGCUUAAAAAGCCACCAACAAACAGCUGCAGCAUCACACAGAGCCCCUGACCCUGCUGGCACUUUGCAGUAGAUGUGUGAGUCCUACCUAAAUCACAUGAACACCUGAAGUUCUAACCACAGGCAAAAAGAGCAGGAAGGAUCUGCUCAAAAGAAACAUUUUUGAAGAGACCAGCACAACAAAUCUUAGAAAACCCAGAUAAACACUUUGCCCUGUAGGAGUUUCCAAGUACCUUCUCUAGCAUAUCAAUAUUCAAUACUCUCACACAAGUCUUCAGGUAGAAGCAGCAAGGUAACAUUCAGAAGCAUCUGAGGGAGUUUGGAAAGCCCCCUUUCCCAGGUGAGGCAGACUUUUAGGUUCACAGGUCCCACUUAUUCCCAACUCUUUAAGUAAUGAAACCCUCUGAAAAAUAGAUCUGGCAUGCACAAGGACAUCCAGCCCUGUCAGAUGUGACUGAGGUAACUACUAAACCAAAGCUACAGCAGCACACACCAAGCCCACAGGUAAGGCGCCCCAUCCUACAGGCAAUUAGGCCAGACAGCAGCUAACUGUAGUACAAUUACACACGCCUCUGUCCUGCCACAGAGCUCCCACACACCAUACAGACGAGCUUUGCUGUUACCCAGCGUGCAUUUAACAUCUGCAGUCUGAAAGAAAAUUCUGAGACAUCUCUUAAAUGAGGAGAACACAGAAGCAACUUGGAUGGCUUUUCCAGAAUUAAUUCACUGGAAAAUGCCUAAUGUUUCAUUAAAAGCAAAGACACCGGAGUUGUAAAGUUCCAUUUUUAUCUCCAGCAGUGAAGUCCUUGACAAGUUCUAACUAACGCACCUUCCCAGAGAACUGCACAGCAUUUGGUCUCUCAAAAAAUCAUUAUAAUGCAAGUGUUACGUAAAAGACUUACUCUUCUUGCAUUUGGUGAUAAUGCUUUAAUUUCUCUCAACAGGGCAGCCUUCUAAUACAAUAAAUUUAUGGCAAAAUAGAAAAGGAAGAUUAAG